UACGUAGGUGGCAAGCGUUGUCCGGAAUUAUUGGGCGUAAAGCGCGCGCAGGCGGUCCUUUAAGUCUGAUGUGAAAGCCCACGGCUCAACCGUGGAGGGUCAUUGGAAACUGGGGGACUUGAGUGCGGCAGAGGAGACUGGAAUUCCUGGUGUAGCAGUGAAAUGCGUAGAUAUCAGGAGGAAUACCGAUGGCGAAGGCAGGUCUCUGGGCUGACACUGACGCUCAUGCACGAAAGCGUGGGGAGCAAACAGG
RNAcentral lists this ribosomal RNA (253 nucleotides) under uncultured bacterium. Its description in RNAcentral is "partial 16S ribosomal RNA". It matches the Rfam family "Bacterial small subunit ribosomal RNA", at positions 524 to 776 of the family's 1533-position model. The record is from RNAcentral.